RNAcentral lists this unclassified non-coding RNA (336 nucleotides) under soil metagenome. RNAcentral describes it as "partial contains 5.8S ribosomal RNA, internal transcribed spacer 2, and large subunit ribosomal RNA". The stretch from base 1 to 120 matches the Rfam family "5.8S ribosomal RNA", at positions 35 to 154 of the family's 154-position model. The record is from RNAcentral.
GAUGAAGAACGCAGCGAAAUGCGAUAAGUAGUGUGAAUUGCAGAAUUCAGUGAAUCAUCGAAUCUUUGAACGCACAUUGCGCCCCUUGGUAUUCCAUGGGGCAUGCCUGUUCGAGCGUCAUUUGUACCUUCAAGCUCUUCUUGGUGUUGGGUGUUUGUCUCGCCUCUGCGUGUAGACUCGCCUCAAAACAAUUGGCAGCCGGCGUAUUGAUUUCGGAGCGCAGUACAUCUCGCGCUUUGCACUCAUAACGACGACGUCCAAAAGUACAUUUUUACACUCUUGACCUCGGAUCAGGUAGGGAUACCCGCUGAACUUAAGCAUAUCAAUAACGGAGGA